CCUACGGGAGGCAGCAGUGGGGAAUUUUGGACAAUGGGCGCAAGCCUGAUCCAGCAAUGCCGCGUGAGUGAAGAAGGCCUUCGGGUUGUAAAGCUCUUUUGUCAGGGAAGAAACGGAUGAGGCUAAUAUCCUUGUCUAAUGACGGUACCUGAAGAAUAAGCACCGGCUAACUACGUGCCAGCAGCCGCGGUAAUACGUAGGGUGCAAGCGUUAAUCGGAAUUACUGGGCGUAAAGCGUGCGCAGGCGGUUUUGUAAGUUUGUCGUGAAAUCCCCGGGCUCAACCUGGGAAUUGCGAUGAAGACUGCAAGGCUAGAAUCUGGCAGAGGGGGGUAGAAUUCCACGUGUAGCAGUGAAAUGCGUAGAGAUGUGGAGGAACACCGAUGGCGAAGGCAGCCCCCUGGGUCAAGAUUGACGCUCAUGCACGAAAGCGUGGGGAGCAAACAGGAUUAGAUACCCUGGUAGUCCACGCCCUAAACGAUGUCUACUAGUUGUCGGGUUUUAAUUAACUUGGUAACGCAGCUAACGCGUGAAGUAGACCGCCCGGUGGACGGUCGGCAGAGUAAACUACAAGAAUUGAACGUGNGNGNGNGCGAGCGACGACGACGGAGGAGGAGG
Molecule: ribosomal RNA, 616 nt
Filed under: uncultured bacterium
Lineage: Bacteria
Description: bacterial SSU rRNA
Rfam family: Bacterial small subunit ribosomal RNA
Source: RNAcentral